GCCUGGUUGACUCAGUUGACAGAGUGUGUGACUCUUGAUCCCUAGGUUGUGAGUUCGAGACCCACACUGGGUG
Molecule: transfer RNA, 73 nt
Filed under: Mustela putorius furo (domestic ferret)
Lineage: Eukaryota; Metazoa; Chordata; Mammalia; Carnivora; Mustelidae
Rfam family: tRNA
About the family: Transfer RNA (tRNA) molecules are approximately 80 nucleotides in length. Their secondary structure includes four short double-helical elements and three loops (D, anti-codon, and T loops). Further hydrogen bonds mediate the characteristic L-shaped molecular structure. tRNAs have two regions of fundamental functional importance: the anti-codon, which is responsible for specific mRNA codon recognition, and the 3' end, to which the tRNAs corresponding amino acid is attached (by aminoacyl-tRNA synthetases). tRNAs cope with the degeneracy of the genetic code in two manners: having more than one tRNA (with a specific anti-codon) for a particular amino acid; and 'wobble' base-pairing, i.e. permitting non-standard base-pairing at the 3rd anti-codon position.
Source: Rfam by way of RNAcentral